GGGUCUGUGGCUCAGCCAGGCAGAAUUCAUGCCUAAAGCGGCUGGCUCUUAACCAGAUAUGUCUUUGACAUAGGAGAAUAAGUCGUGGGUUCAAAUCCCACCAGACCCG
Molecule: transfer RNA, 109 nt
Filed under: uncultured marine thaumarchaeote AD1000_100_C06
Lineage: Archaea; Thermoproteati; Nitrososphaerota
Description: tRNA-Phe
Rfam family: tRNA
About the family: Transfer RNA (tRNA) molecules are approximately 80 nucleotides in length. Their secondary structure includes four short double-helical elements and three loops (D, anti-codon, and T loops).
Source: RNAcentral